This 65-nucleotide transfer RNA is filed under the name Cerceris quinquefasciata. RNAcentral's name for it is "tRNA-Leu". It matches the Rfam family "tRNA". Rfam says of the family: Transfer RNA (tRNA) molecules are approximately 80 nucleotides in length. The record is from RNAcentral. Lineage: Eukaryota; Metazoa; Arthropoda; Insecta; Hymenoptera; Crabronidae.
UUUAAUAUGGCAGAAUAGUGCAAUGAACUUAAAAUUCAUAUAUAAAGUUUUAACUUUUAUUAAAA